This 1194-nucleotide ribosomal RNA is filed under the name uncultured organism. Its description in RNAcentral is "SSU rRNA". It matches the Rfam family "Bacterial small subunit ribosomal RNA", at positions 71 to 1275 of the family's 1533-position model. The record is from RNAcentral.
AGGAGGAUUCGGCCCACGGAAGUAGAGGAAAGUGGUGGACGGGGGACUAACGCGUGAUGAACCUGCCUUGAAUAAGGGGACAACACUUGGAAACCACUGCUAAUACCACAUGAAUCGUAGAGGUCGCAUGAUCUUUAUGCCAGAUAUUUAUAGCUUCAUCAUGGCCUCUGGUCUGAUUACCUAGUUGGCGGGGUAGCGGCCCACCUGGGCGACCAUAAGUAGCCGGACUGAUAGGUUGAACGGCCCCCUUGCUUACUGACAUACUUGCCCAGACUCCUACUGGAGGAACCUCUGGGGAAUAUUGGGCAAUGUGAGCAAGCCUGAUCCACCUCCGCCGCGUGAUUGAACAACGCUUUCGGGUUGUAAACUUCUUUUAACAGGGAAGAGCCUACGACGGUGCCUCUAGAAUAACCGAUUGCUAACUACUUGCCCUGAGCCUCGGUAAUACGUAAGGGGCCUGCGUUGUCCGGAUUUACUGGUGUAAAGGGCGUGCAGCUGGGUCGGCAGUCCAGAUGUGAAAUCCAUGGGCUCAACCCAUGAAGUGCAUUUGAAACUGUAGAUCUAGAGUGUCGGAGGGGCAAUCGGCAUUCUUAAUGUAGCGGUGAAAUGUGUAGAUAUUAGGAGGAACACCAGUGGCGAAGGCGGAUUGCUGGACGAUAACUGACGGUGAGGCGAGAAAGUGUGGGGAGCAAACAGGAUUAGAUACCAUGGUAGUCCACUCUGUAAAUGAUGAAUACUAGGUGUGCGGGGACUGACUCCGUGCGUGUCGCAGUAAACACAAUAAGUAUUCCACCGGGGGAGUACGAUCGCAAGGUUGAAACUCAAAGGAAUUGACGGGGGCCUGCACAAGCGGUGGAUUAUGUGGUAUAAUUUGAAGCAACGCGUAGAACCUUACCAGGGUUUGACAUCGUGGUAACGAAGUAGAGAUACAUUAGGUGCCUUUAGGGGAAAGCAGAGACAGGUGGUGCAUGGUUGUAUGUCAGCUUGAGUCAUGAGAUGUUGGGUUAAGUCACUCAUCGAGCGCAACCCUUAUUGUUAGUUGGUACUCAAGAGCACUCUAGUGAGACUCCCGUUGACAAAACGGAGGAAGGUGGGGAGGAUGUCAAAUCAUCAUGCGCGUCAUAUCCUGUGGUACACACGUAAUACAAUGGCGGUCAACAGAGGGAAGCAAACCCGCGAGGCAGAGCAAACCCU